This is a long non-coding RNA of Scylla paramamosain (green mud crab), 370 nucleotides long. RefSeq lists it as uncharacterized. The transcript is spliced from 2 exons. NCBI's taxonomy places the organism in Eukaryota, Metazoa, Arthropoda, Malacostraca, Decapoda, Portunidae. The record is from RefSeq and is a predicted model, not a curated record.
AUCAAUGCUGCGUAGCUCCGCCACCUCCACAGGACUGCGUGCAUCCCAUGUGCUUGGAAGUGCGGGUGCGGGAGAGCGAGAAAGAGAAAAGAGAGGGAGAGCAAACCGCACCCAAACCCCUUUUGAAGAGACACCGCUGCGUUUUGUCACAUAAAUGCUAAGAGAACGAAUUGACACAGACGACGCAAAAACAACGGGGUUAUACGAUGCCAAGAAGGAAGGAAGGAGAGGAAGGGCGAGCGGCAAGGGCGAAGGAGAGGAAGAGCGAGCGGCGAGAGAGAGAGAGAGAGAGAGAGAGAGAGAGAGAGAGAGAGAGAGAGAGAGAGAGAGAGAGAGAGAGAGAGAGAGAGAGAGAGAGAGAGAGAGAGAC